Molecule: non-coding RNA, 102 nt
Organism: Acanthosepion pharaonis
Lineage: Eukaryota; Metazoa; Mollusca; Cephalopoda; Sepiida; Sepiidae
Source: the annotation of a GenBank genome assembly
UACGACCACAUCGCAUCAAAACACCGGUUCCCGUACGAUCUCCGAAGUUAAACAACGUCGAACCUGGUCAGUACAUAGAUGGGUGACCGCUUGGGAACACCA